Molecule: signal recognition particle RNA, 148 nt
Filed under: Gorilla gorilla gorilla (western lowland gorilla)
Lineage: Eukaryota; Metazoa; Chordata; Mammalia; Primates; Hominidae
Description: Metazoan signal recognition particle RNA
Rfam family: Metazoan signal recognition particle RNA
About the family: The signal recognition particle (SRP) is a universally conserved ribonucleoprotein.
Source: Rfam by way of RNAcentral
GCCAGGCAUGGUGGUGCAUGCCUGUAAUCCCAGCUACUGGGGAGGCUGAGACAGGAGAAUUGCUUGAACCCAGGAGGCAGAGGUCGCAGUGAGCUGAGAUCGUGCCACUGCACUCCAGCCUGGGCGACAGAGCAAGACUCUGUCUCAA